This 301-nucleotide ribosomal RNA is filed under the name uncultured bacterium. Its description in RNAcentral is "partial 16S ribosomal RNA". It matches the Rfam family "Bacterial small subunit ribosomal RNA", at positions 509 to 807 of the family's 1533-position model. The record is from RNAcentral.
CAGUCGCCGCGGGAAUACAGAGGGUGCAAGCGUUAAUCGGAAUUACUGGGCGUAAAGCGCGCGUAGGUGGUUCGCCAAGUUGGAUGUGAAAUCCCCGGGCUCAACCUGGGAACUGCAUCCAAAACUGGCAAGCUAGAGUAUGGUAGAGGGUGGUGGAAUUUCCUGUGUAGCGGUGAAAUGCGUAGAUAUAGGAAGGAACAUCAGUGGCGAAGGCGACCACCUGGACUGAUACUGACACUGAGGUGCGAAAGCGUGGGGAGCAAACAGGAUUAGAUACCCCAGUAGUCCCUGUCUCUUAUAC